RNAcentral lists this ribosomal RNA (440 nucleotides) under uncultured bacterium. Its description in RNAcentral is "partial 16S ribosomal RNA". It matches the Rfam family "Bacterial small subunit ribosomal RNA", at positions 338 to 795 of the family's 1533-position model. The record is from RNAcentral.
CCUACGGGAGGCAGCAGUGGGGAAUAUUGCACAAUGGGGGAAACCCUGAUGCAGCGACGCCGCGUGAGUGAAGAAGUAUUUCGGUAUGUAAAGCACUAUCAGCAGGGAAGAAAAUGACGGUACCUGAGUAAGAAGCUACGGCUAAAUACGUGACAGCAGCCGCGGUAAUACGUAUGGCGCACGCGUUAGCCGGAUUUACUGGGCGUAAAGGGAGCGUGGGCGGCCUGCCAAGUCUGCUGUGAAAUACCGGGGCUCAACCCCGGGGCUGCAUUGGAAACUGGCAGGCUGGAGUGUCGGAGAGGCAGGCAGAAUUCCUAGUGUAGCGGUGAAAUGCGUAGAGAUUAGGAGGAACACCAGUGGCGAAGGCGGCCUGCUGGACGGUGACUGACGCUGAGGCUCGAAAGCGUGGGGAGCAAACAGGAUUAGAUACCCCGGUAGUC